RNAcentral lists this small RNA (2355 nucleotides) under Pongo abelii (Sumatran orangutan). RNAcentral's name for it is "processed transcript". The record is from RNAcentral. Lineage: Eukaryota; Metazoa; Chordata; Mammalia; Primates; Hominidae.
CUUGGAGCUGGUGUGCAGUGUCCUGACUGUAAGAUCAAGUCCAAACCUGUUUUGGACUUGAGAAAACUUCUCUUUUGAUCUCAGCCCUUGGUGGUCCAGGUCUUCAUGCUGCUGUGGGUGAUAUUACUGGUCCUGGCUCCUGUCAGUGGACAGUUUGCAAGGACACCCAGGCCCAUUAUUUCCCUCCAGCCUCCAUGGACCACAGUCUUCCAAGGAGAGAGAGUGACCCUGACUUGCAAGGGAUUUCACUUCUACUUACCACAGAAAACAAAAUGGUACCAUCGGUACCUUGGGAAAGAAAUACUAAGAGAAACCCCAGACAAUACCCUUGAGGUUCAGAAAUCUGGAGAGUACAGAUGCCAGGCCCAGGGCUCCCCUCUCAGUAGCCCUGUGCACUUGGAUUUUUCUUCAGAUAUGGGAUUUCCUCAUGCUGCCCAGGCUAAUGUUGAACUCCUGGGCUCAAGUGAUCUGCUCACCUAGGCCUUUCAAAGUGCUGGGAUUACAGCUUCACUGAUCCUGCAAGCUCCACUUUCUGUGUUUGAAGGAGACUCUGUGGUUCUGAGGUGCCGGGCAAAGGCGAAAGUAACACUAAAUAAUACUAUUUACAAGAAUGAUAAUGUCCUGGCAUUCCUUAAUAAAAGAACUGACUUCCAUAUUCCUCAUGCAAGUCUCAAGGACAAUGGUGCAUAUCGCUGUACUGGAUAUAAGGAAAGUUGUUGCCCUGUUUCUUCCAACACAGUCAAAAUCCAAGUCCAAGAGCCAUUUACACGUCCAGUGCUGAGAGCCAGCUCCUUCCAGCCCAUCAGCGGGAGCCCAGUGACCCUGACCUGUAAGACCCGGCUCUCUCUAGAGAGGUCAGAUGUCCCUCUCCGGUUCUGCUUCUUCAGAGAUGACCAGACCCUGGGAUCAGGCUGGAGUCUCUCCCCGAAGUUCCAGAUUACUGCCAUGUGGAGUAAAGAUUCAGGAUUCUACUGGUGUCAGGCAGCAACAAUGCCUUACAGCAUCAUAUCUGACAGCCCGAGAUCCUGGAUACAGGUGCAGAUCCCCGCAUCUCAUCCUGUCCUCACUCUCAGCCCUGAAAAGGCUCUGAAUUUUGAGGGAACCAAGGUGACACUUCACUGUGAAACCCAGGAAGAUUCUCUGCGCACUUUGUACAGGUUUUAUCAUGAGGGUGUCCCCCUGAGGCACAAGUCAGUCCGCUGUGAAAGGGGAGCAUCCAUCAGCUUCUCACUGACUACAGAGCAUUCAGGGAACUACUACUGCACAGCUGACAAUGGCUUUGGUGCCAAGCCCAGUAAGGCUGUGAGCCUCUCAGUCACUGGUAAGCCCUGCGUUCCUGCCAAUCACCCACCCCUGGCCAAGAGUCCUGUCUCACCCUGCCCUUCGGAAGUCAACAUAUACCUUCCCGUAUCCUCGGUUUCUUUCUUGGGAAAACCUAAUGUCCUCCUCCACUCUCCGGCUCACUGAACCAGCUGUCUACCUCUCAAGUCUCAUUGCAUUGCAGUCUAGGUGCCUUCUUACCCCUGCCUGAUGGUGCAGUGGCUUUCUAUCCCCUGGUUCCCAAUUUCUGAGAAGCCAAGUGCUUUUCUUAUGCUUUCCACUUGUCCUGUGGCUCCCCAGAUGACUGAUUUUCAUUCACUAUAUUAUUCUCAGUAGACACAGAUUCAAUUUCCAGGAGCACAGAGGUAUCUCCUGUUCUGUUAAUAUCAGACAUUAAUCAAUAAACCAAAGGCAAAGACAUGUAAGACACAAAGACAAGUCGCUGGAUCAUAGAUAACCCAGCAUGUCCUUCUUGCUCAAGCCUUUUUUAGAGUUGACGGGCAAUAGGUAAGAAAGGCACGGGCAAUGGUGGGCUGGGGGUAGGCCAGGAGAUAGCUUCACUUCUACUUGCUUGGCUUAAUGCCCUCAGAGCUAUUCAGGUAGCUGCCAAAUAGUUAUGACAUCAAAAAGGUUUCCUUUGAGCUUUGGAUCUCAGUUUUGAACCAUCCAUGCAUGGCUGAAUGCCAGGUCCAGUGUUGAAGGAGACAAUGUGAUUUGGGUCUAUACUGGUGACAGAGAGUCCAGUCUUGGUUGGGCCUGGAAGCAGCAUCAGUUUCCUCUCCUGUAAAACAAUAAUACCAGCUUGGAAGACAAGCAAGAAUCCAGUCCCUCCCACAUGGAUGUGUGAGAUUAUAAAGGAGAGGACCAGGGAACCCAGGGGGAGACAUCAAAUGACGUAGAAAGAGAACAGUGUCCCUGACAUUCAGAGGCCCAAGGAAAGUGGAGACAGUGACAUCAUGAUCAAACAUGCUCAGAGAUGUUUAAAGUCCUAUUCAAUGACUCACUUCUUCACCUAAUAAAUGCUGAUUGCAUAUA